This is a long non-coding RNA of Physella acuta, 623 nucleotides long. RefSeq lists it as uncharacterized. NCBI's taxonomy places the organism in Eukaryota, Metazoa, Mollusca, Gastropoda, Physidae. The record is from RefSeq and is a predicted model, not a curated record.
UGAUGGUUGCUGAAAACAACGAUGCUGUGAUUCCUUUUUUUCACAAUGAUUCAUCUUCAUUUCAGAAAUAUAUAAUUAAAAUAGUUAUCUUUGCGUAUGCUUCAACGAUGCCCAUCAAGUUUUAACAAUGGACGAUUAGUGUUUGAUGCAAACUUGCAAUUUAUACAAUUUUUGGGUAUAAUCGCUGAGAAUAUCACGAAGAACAUGAUAAAAUUGUUUUCUAUGAAAUGGACUCCUGAGAUCAAUAGGCAGACAUGAGUAUGUCUGACAAGACAGUUGAACACAUCACAUAGUGCUAAGGCAUGGAACUGUGUUGAUUUAAGGACCACAUUAUUAUGGACCACAUUUUAUGGACCACAUUUCAUGGACCACAUUUCAUGGACCACAUUUAUUGGACCACAUUGCAUGGACCACAUUACAUGGACCACAAAUCAACACCAUGGCAGUAGGUCUAGAAGCUGGGCUCAAAGCCUCACAAGACAACUGUAUGCUGUAUAUCUAAGCGAUGGCCCUCGCCAGAUAAAGGUCAAAGGUUAGGCUAGAAGCAAGUGGAAGCACCCAAGUGUGACAGACGUCACAGGAAGGUUGCAGGUCAACAAGGGGAGAUAACAAUGUCAGACUCU